This 253-nucleotide ribosomal RNA is filed under the name uncultured bacterium. RNAcentral's name for it is "partial 16S ribosomal RNA". It matches the Rfam family "Bacterial small subunit ribosomal RNA", at positions 524 to 776 of the family's 1533-position model. The record is from RNAcentral.
UACGUAGGGCGCAAGCGUUGUCCGGAAUUAUUGGGCGUAAAGAGCUCGUAGGCGGUUUGUCACGUCGGGUGUGAAAGCCCGGGGCUUAACCCCGGGUCUGCAUUCGAUACGGGCAGACUAGAGUGUGGUAGGGGAGAUCGGAAUUCCUGGUGUAGCGGUGGAAUGCGCAGAUAUCAGGAGGAACACCGAUGGCGAAGGCAGGUCACUGGGCCGCAACUGACGCUGAGGAGCGAAAGCAUGGGGAGCGAACAGG